CCUACGGGCGGCUGCAGUGAGGAAUAUUGCGCAAUGGGGGAAACCCUGACGCAGCGACGCCGUGUGAGCGAUGAAGGCCUUCGGGUCGUAAAGCUCUGUCAGAGGGGAAGAAAGGGGAUAUGGUUAAUACCCAUGUCCAUUGACGGUACCCUUUGAGGAAGCACCGGCUAACUCCGUGCCAGCAGCCGCGGUAAUACGGAGGGUGCGAGUGUUAUUCGGAAUCACUGGGCGUAAAGAGCACGUAGGCGGAUCGGUAAGUCAGAUGUGAAAUCCCGGAGCUCAACUCCGGAACUGCAUUUGAUACUGCCAGUCUUGAGUGAGGUAGAGGGGGGUGGAAUUCCCGGUGUAGAGGUGAAAUUCGUAGAUAUCGGGAGGAACACCAGAGGCGAAGGCGACCCCCUGGGCCUUUACUGACGCUGAGGUGCGAAAGCGUGGGGAGCAAACAGGAUUAGAUACCCCAGUAGUC
This 466-nucleotide ribosomal RNA is filed under the name uncultured delta proteobacterium. Its description in RNAcentral is "bacterial SSU rRNA". It matches the Rfam family "Bacterial small subunit ribosomal RNA", at positions 338 to 795 of the family's 1533-position model. The record is from RNAcentral. Lineage: Bacteria; Deltaproteobacteria.